Molecule: non-coding RNA, 406 nt
Organism: Oryctolagus cuniculus (rabbit)
Lineage: Eukaryota; Metazoa; Chordata; Mammalia; Lagomorpha; Leporidae
Source: RefSeq, a predicted model, not a curated record
GACCUCUUAUCCCAAAUGACAGCUGUCCGCAGUAUCCUGGGGAAGAGAUGGAAUGCCUGGGCCACUGCUGCAAACAGAGGCAGACAGUGGCCAUGAGACAGCGGCCCUAUGGAAAGGAGUGAGGGCUGUCCCUGGCUCACAUCACCGGAGAACUGAGCCCUGCAAGCAGCCUUGUGAACACCUGGAAACCCUAAGCCAGAGAACCGAGCCCAGCCACACAACAAAAGCAGGGAGCUGGACUGGAAGCAGAGCAGCUAGGACCGGACUGGCUCUCUGACGUGGGCCUGGGGCAGCUUAACUGGCUGCACACCACCAACAGCCACCACACACAGAAGCUAUGAGACAAUAAAUGUUUUAAGCCACUAAAUUUGUGGGCUACCUGUGACACAGCAAUAGAUUCCUAACA